UGCAGAAGUACUUUUUGUCCUCCCAACAGCAAGUAACGGCUAGUUUUUGAAAUCUAACCAAUGGGGGGUAUCCAAAUGGAUGAGGAAAACUAUUUAAAGGGACACUAUUCAUCAGAGAAAAGUAUCCUUUUGCAAAAGAUCAAAGAUUACUCAAGAAAGACAAAAGCCCUAAUCUUCUUCAUCCAAGUGCUUCACUCAAGAGUCAAAAGAAAGUGGUAGAGCAGAUUCUAAGCAACAUUAAGAGCUCCAUCAACCCUUGAAGAGUGAAGCAAUCUUGACAAAAAAGAGAGAAGUCUCAUCAAGCGAUAACUAUAUUCUAAACUCUUCUUUGUAGCUUAUAAUUGUUAUAUUUGCUCAUCUCGGAGUUUCAAUCUUCUUCUUCUCUUUUAAUCACCUUGUAAAGGUUUGUUGGUGAGCCCGUAAAACCAACGGUGUAGGUUUAUUGGUGAACCCGUAAAACCAAUUGUGAAGGUUUAUUGGUGAGCCCGUAAAACCAACAUAGAUUUUUGGUGAUCCCGGAAAACCAAAGUGUAAAGGUUUUUGGAUUGUAAGCCCGGAAAACAAUACAACUGUAAUCCGCAGAAUUAUAGUGAAUUUCCAAGGGAUCACUUGGAAAGUGGACGUAGGUGCUUAGGAGAGCACCGAACCACUAUACUUCUUGUGUGUUUGCAUUGUGUAUUGUUUUAACUUCACUCACUCAUCGAUUGACUAAAUUAAGAUUGU
Molecule: long non-coding RNA, 723 nt
Filed under: Phoenix dactylifera (date palm)
Lineage: Eukaryota; Viridiplantae; Streptophyta; Magnoliopsida; Arecales; Arecaceae
Description: long non-coding RNA (PDAC_LNC015001)
Source: RNAcentral